Molecule: ribosomal RNA, 324 nt
Filed under: uncultured eukaryote
Lineage: Eukaryota
Description: partial 18S ribosomal RNA
Rfam family: Eukaryotic small subunit ribosomal RNA
Source: RNAcentral
CCCUUAGAUGUUCUGGGCUGCACGCGCGCUACACUGAAGCUAUCAACACGUUUUCCCUCCCUGAGAAGGGCGGGUAACCUUUUGAAUCAGCUUCGUGGUAGGGAUCGGGGCUUGCAAUUGUUCCCCGUGAACCAGGAAUUCCUAGUAGACGCGAGUCAUAAGCUCGCAUCGAUUAAGUCCCUGCCCUUUGUACACACCGCCCGUCGCUACUACCGAUUGAACGUUUUAGUGAGGCAUUUGGACCGACGCAUCUCAGUUUAACCACCGGUUUGUGUUGGAAAGACUUCCAAACUUGAGCGUUUAGAGGAAGUAAAAGUCGUAACA